Molecule: ribosomal RNA, 1332 nt
Filed under: uncultured bacterium
Lineage: Bacteria
Description: bacterial SSU rRNA
Rfam family: Bacterial small subunit ribosomal RNA
Source: RNAcentral
AGAGUUUGAUCAUGGCUCAGAACGUACGCUGGCGGCACGCCUAACACAUGUAAGUCGAACGAAGUAGCAAUACUUAGUGGCAGACGGGUGAGUAACAUGUAGGUAUCUGCCCUUUGGCCUGGAGUAACACGAGGAAACUUGUGCUAAUACCGGAUAAGUCUUUACAGAGAAAGCUUUAUGCACCAUUGGAUGAGCCUGCACUUGAUUAGUUUGUUGGUGGGGUAAUGGCCUACCAAGACUGUGAUCAAUAGCUGAUUUGAGAGGAUGAUCAGCCACAUUGGGACUGAGACACGGCCCAAACUCCUACGGGAGGCAGCAGUGGGGAAUCUUGCACAAUGGAGGAAACUCUGAUGCAGCGAUGCCGCGUGAGUGAAGAAGGCCUUUGGGUUGUAAAGCUCUUUCGUCGGGGAAGAAAAUGACUGUACCCGAAUAAGAAGGUCCGGCUAACUUCGUGCCAGCAGCCGCGGUAAUACGAAGGGACCUAGCGUAGUUCGGAAUUACUGGGCUUAAAGAGUUCGUAGGUGGUUGAAAAAGUUGGUGGUGAAAUCCCAGAGCUUAACUCUGGAACUGCCAUCAAAACUUUUCAGCUAGAGUAUGAUAGAGGAAAGCAGAAUUUCUAGUGUAGAGGUGAAAUUCGUAGAUAUUAGAAAGAAUACCGAUUGCGAAGGCAGCUUUCUGGAUCAUUACUGACACUGAGGAACGAAAGCAUGGGUAGCGAAGAGGAUUAGAUACCCUCGUAGUCCAUGCCGUAAACGAUGUGUGUUAGACGUUGGAGAUUUAUUUUCAGUGUCGCAGCGAAAGCGAUAAACACACCGCCUGGGGAGUACGACCGCAAGGUUAAAACUCAAAUGAAUUGACGGGGACCCGCACAAGUAGUGGAGCAUGUGGUUUAAUUCGAAGAUACGCGCAGAACCUUACCAACACUUGACAUGUUCGUCGCGACUUUAAGAGAUUAAAGUUUUCGGUUCGGCCGGACGAAACACAGGUGCUGCAUGGCUGUCGUCAGCUCGUGUCGUGAGAUGUUGGGUUAAGUCCCGCAACGAGCGCAACCCUCACUUUUAGUUGCCAUCAUUAAGUUGGGCACUCUGAAAGAACUGCCAGUGAUAAGCUGGAGGAAGGUGGGGAUGACGUCAAGUCCUCAUGGCCCUUACGUGUUGGGCUACACACGUGCUACAAUGGUAUCUACAACAGGAAGCAAGACUGCGAAGUUAAGCAAAUCCUUAAAAGAUACCUCAGUUCGGAUUGCACUCUGCAACUCGAGUGCAUGAAGCUGGAAUUACUAGUAAUCGUGGAUCAGCGUGCCACGGUGAAUGCGUUCCCGGGUCUUGUAGA